Molecule: long non-coding RNA, 164 nt
Organism: Alosa sapidissima (American shad)
Lineage: Eukaryota; Metazoa; Chordata; Actinopteri; Clupeiformes; Clupeidae
Exons: 3
Source: RefSeq, a predicted model, not a curated record
CAUCAAACAUGUUUUGAAAGGCCCCGGCCGUGGCACGACUGGCUAGGGCACCUGCACCGUACGCCGGCGACCCGUGUUCGAUUCCCGCCCCGUGGUCCUCUCGGAUCCCACCCCAACACUCGCUUCCUGUCGAUCUCCACUGUCCUUUCACAUUAAAGGCAUAA